RNAcentral lists this long non-coding RNA (3800 nucleotides) under Canis lupus familiaris (dog). RNAcentral describes it as "lncRNA (ENSCAFG00040002490.1)". The record is from RNAcentral. Lineage: Eukaryota; Metazoa; Chordata; Mammalia; Carnivora; Canidae.
AUGGCGGCGAGGGCGGGCGGGGCGGGGAGGAAGCCGCCCGCUUUGAAACUUUCUCUCACGGUCGCGCUGUGGGCCCCGCCGCGGCCAGAAGGGGGGGGGAGGGAGGAGGCGAUCCGAAGGCCUUUUUCUUUAAAGGGUCGGCCUUCGUGGGAGCUGCCACGCGCUAGGCCUCUGCUGGGAAUCUGGCUCGGUUGCUGCACCAGCUUCUGCGAGUGCGCGUGUCGGGACCCGGGCGGCGGGCAGAGCCGGUCCUGGCCUCCCAGGGCAGCCCCUCUGCAUGGCCGUGGCCUCCAGGCAACACCUGCCUCCGCAAGGCGUCAAGGCUGCAGCAAGGAGGCCCAGGCGCAGCCCAGGCGACACCUGCCUCCACAAGGCGUCAAGGCUGCAGCAAGGAGGCCCGCGUGCGCGUGCGCUAGGGACGGCCUUCCCCUCCCUUGCAGGCCUCCUCUGGGGCCGCCGCCGUGCUCCUUUCCUACCAGAUGCAAGUGCUCUUUUCCUACCAGAUGCAAGUGCUCAUUUCCUACCAAAUACAAGUGCUCCGUUCCUACCAGAUGCAAAUGCUCCUUUCCCACCAGAUGCAAGUGCUCCUUUCCCACCAAAUACAAGUGCUCCUUUCCUACCAGAUGCAAGCGCCUUUCCUACCAGAUGCAAGCGCCUUUCCUACCAGAUGCAAGUGCUCCUUUUCCACCAAAUACAAGUGCUCCUUUCCUACCAGAUGCAAGCGCCUUUCCUACCAGAUGCAAGCGCCUUUCCUAUCAGAUGCAAGUGCUCCUUUCCUACCAGAUACAAGUAUCAAAAAGAAUUGGAGUGAUUGAAGUUAUGAUAGACAUUGUUAAGGACCAUGAGAUUACCCCCAGAGAAGCUGACCACCCCACAGUUUCUUCCGUUGGUAUAGUGACCAAAUUCUCCAAACCAAAAAUCAGGACACAUGGCUUGCCGCGUACUCAAGAACAAAGGGACAAACCCCAUGAAGAUAACUUCUGGAUAUUUCUGAUUUCUAAACUUAUGUUAAUGGCCUACUUGUGCUGAGCAAUCCCCUGCAAGGUGGUGGGGAGUAACAACAGAGGAAAACUAGGCCACGAGGAAUUCAGUCUGGCAAGAGUCUAGCGAGCUGGGCAUUGCGUUACAGUGUGGCGUGGCGUGGUGGGGUAGGCCGAGCAAGUGCGGGCCAGGAGCCCCUAUGGCAAUACGGACAGGUUUUCCAGAAAAAGUCACAGCCUAGCAGAUUCUUGAAGGACAGCCAUCCCUGGUGUGUCAUUCCACUUUUCCUCUGGGAAAAUGAUCCAAUCAGAGAAAGACCGGUGGAGGCUCUCAGCAACACCUGGCCUUCGUCCUGCAGAGAUCAUCCAUGAAGCCUCAAGAACUUCGUGUCGGCGGUUCCCAAGCUGUAGUUCAGGGCGGGAGAUCUUCCGCGGGCACUCACAGGUAAAAACGAGACCACUACCACGUAUCUGGGCCAAGAAACCGUCGGUGCCCCCAGCCGAGACGGAGGCGGAUGCAGUCCUGGACUGGAGACGACGCUCAGUAAGCCAGUACUCUUCCGGGACCUCUCUGCACCUGCUCCCCAAAGGGGGCCAUCCCAGUAGAAGCUUCGCUGUUCCUCACGUUUCCACCACGUGGUCACUGCUUCAUUUCCAUGAGGAAUCCCUUCUUUCCAGCUUCACUUAAUCUCAUCACCCUCCACCACUGCCCUCUUCCCGGGCCACCCUGCUCUACCCUCUUGACACCCACCAACCACCAAAUCUGUCCCUCACGUGGCAUUUCAAUUUCCUUGGCACCUCAAACUAAAGUAUUAGCUCAUUCCUUUAUUAUCCUUCGUAGUGAUGUAUUUAAACCCAAACUUAUUGCCCCCAAAUGACUUCAGAUCCCUCCAUUCCUAAAUGUUGUGAAGCUAAAAUGGUUUUACAUGGAAAACAUUUUAAACAAGUCACCGCAUUCAUUCUUUAGAGGUCUUUCAAGGCAUCCUAUCACGUCUCAGUGAAGGUCAUGUAAAGCCUCUCUCACUGGACUCUUAAUUCUAGGAAACAAACUGAGGGUGGCGGCGGGAGGGGAGGUAGGUAGGGGCGAUGGGGUUUUGGGGUGAGGGCCAUGAAGAAGGGCACGUGACGUAAGGAGCCCUGGGUGUUGCGUGCAACUGAGGAAUCCCUAAAUUCCACCCCCGGAAACUAAAAAUACGAUGUAUGUAUGUUAACUAAAUUGAAUUUAAAUUAAAAUUUAAAGAAAAUAAAAAGUAAAAAUAAAACCUCUCUCACUGUACUCCAUUGUCUUACCUCCACUCUGCGUGAACUUCAAUUUAAAAGCUAAACUCCUUCUUCUUCCUAACACUAAACUUGUCCCACCUCCUGUUGGUAGGACUCACUCUUCCUGUCCCAGAACAGUUCCAGGGUGACCUCCUCCAUGGGCCGGCCCUCACAAAUUGAAAUUGGAGUGAAGUCCAAGAGAUUUGCGUUCUAAUCCAGUCCUGCCACCACCCACUGGGAACCAUUAGGCAGGUCACCUCACAUUUCAGGGCUUCAAUUCUCUCACUAGCUAGACAAAAAAAAAAAAAAAAAAAAAAAAAACAGAGUAAUUGAUUUCUGAGGCCUCUUUGAAAUCCAUGUCCUUCUCCAUCUUUCCCACAGAACGGGAGCACGGUCACAUUUUGGUACAAAUACUAUGGAACCAAGAAAGGAAUUUUAAGGAGUGAAAAAUCCAUCCAUCGGCUGGGGACCCGAAUGUUAUCAGUUUAUAGCUCGUUCAGUUGGGUUAAGCCUGGUACUAAUGAGAUCAAGGUCAUGGGUUCCAUUCCCUAACGGCUAGUUAGUUUUGAUCUGCUUCAUAGCCACAAACCGCUUUUCUAACACCAGUCCCCCACGUUAUACUGUGUGCUCCUGGUCACAAGCCUCGAGGUAAAACUGAAUCUUCCCACAGAAAUGUUCUAAACGAACAAUACUUGGGAUCAUCCUUUUAAUGUAUUAUCUUACUUUUAAGUAUGAGUCAAGUUAUUGAUUUUUUUUAGCCUACAUAAUUGUGUGCUCCAUGUUUUUCCAAGUAUGAAAAUGACGUUAACAUUGAUUUGGCCAAGAUUCUUAUUAUUGAUAUUUGUAAGAGCUGAGUUUGAUUUUCUUGUUAGUGUUCUAGAUAACACUGAAAUGUUUAUUAAGUACUCACAUUUGAAUCCUGGUUAUCUUCAUUGUGACACAUCUGCAUACAUUCCUGGCACAGGGCUUGUGAUGGUAAAAUGUCAUUGGAAUGCUAAGGGUGAAAGAGAAAGGGUAUAUUACUCAUCAGGUAAAGCAUUAUAAUGUGUAUCACAUGCUCCACAUCCUAAGGAAAUUAAUAUAGAAAGAGCUUCUGGACAGAUGUGAGUGCUUAUUAUCAUUUUGUUUAGAUACAAAAGUAAAGGUAGAAAUGUGACACACGUAUCCAAAAGAGUAGAAUAAUAUGGGACCGUAAACUCCCUUCUAGGUUUAAAGGAAAAAGAUCAUUUAUAUUUUUGCAUAAUAUACUUACUCAUCUAAAGCCUAAAUCUAAAAGCCUUAUGACUAAACAAUGUUAGAAGGCACAGGCCAGACUUCAGACCACGUUUAUAAGAAUAGUCUUGGAUAUUCUGAGAACCUGGUUCUAGAAUGUUCUUUCCAUUUGACCUGGCCUCCUGACCACAGCUGACUGGUCCAGCAAAGGGCACUUAAUCCCAAGACUGAAUUGAGCAGCAAGGGGUGGCCUGUGAGUCAGCAGGGAGUGCUUUCCCAUAUGAAUAAAAGUGAUGAAAUGGACCAGUCAUAGUCUUAAACUUGGCCAUAUGAACUGGAAAUACUGAA